RNAcentral lists this ribosomal RNA (38 nucleotides) under Eucalyptus gillenii. RNAcentral's name for it is "partial 18S ribosomal RNA". The record is from RNAcentral. Lineage: Eukaryota; Viridiplantae; Streptophyta; Magnoliopsida; Myrtales; Myrtaceae.
CAAAGGUUCAAGAGUCAGUAGGUGAGAUUGAUGAAUUG